UUAACAGCAGUUGGGGCUGGUUAUAUCUAUCAGUGGUACUGCAGACCCACACCUGAGGAAGGUAUGAAGAUAACUGUGUUAAAAAUGUGUUGUUUCUUUCUAGUAAACUAAUGAUAUACAGCUCACAUGACUUGGGAAACAUUCAAUUUAUAACCCUAACAAAUCCACAACAGGAAAGUAUUUAUUUUCUUCAAGGUAUAGGUUAUUAGACAACAUAUUUCUGUGUCAAUUGUACACCUAAAGUGUUCAUGUGACUUUCCAAGAUGUCUAUAUAGUCUCAAUUAAAACUACAAUUCAACUAUGACUUUGAGCCCACUGUAUAUUGGUUUACUUCAUUACUAACACUGUGUUUGUUCUUUAAUCCUCCUCAAGAGGAUCUUCCCAUUACUUCUGAUUAUCAGGACGUCUCAACAGCUGAAACACCUCAAGCUAUUAGCGAGGAGAAUGGCAAGCUCAUGCUUUUUGUGUACAGCCCACUGUACUGUGGCCCUGUCACCAUCUACAGGGGGGUCAGUGAGACAAGCGGACAGCUGCUUCCAUGGAGAUACAGUCCUUUAUACUGUGGGCCAGUGGUUCUGUUCUCUGGGGUCAGUGAGACAAGCGGACAGCUGCUUCCAUGGAGAUACAGUCCUUUAUACUGUGGGCCAGUGGUUCUGUUCUCUG
Osmerus eperlanus (European smelt) is the source of this 663-nucleotide long non-coding RNA. RefSeq lists it as uncharacterized. The transcript has 4 exons. The record is from RefSeq and is a predicted model, not a curated record. Lineage: Eukaryota; Metazoa; Chordata; Actinopteri; Osmeriformes; Osmeridae.